AACGAACGCUGGCGGCAUGCCUAACACAUGCAAGUCGAACGAGACCUGCGGGUCCAGGGGCGCACGGGUGCGUAACGCGUGGGAACCUGCCCUUAGGUUGGGAAUAACUCCCCGAAAGGGGUGCCAAUACCGGAUAAUGUCUUGGGACCAAAGAUUUAUCGCCUUUGGGUGGGCCCGCGUUGGAUUAGCUAGUUGGUAGGGUAAAAGCCUACCAAGGCGACGAUCCAUAGCUGGUCUGAGAGGAUGAUCAGCCACACUGGGACUGAGACACGGCCCAGACUCCUACGGGAGGCAGCAGUGGGGAAUAUUGCACAAUGGGCGAAAGCCUGAUCCAGCAAUGCCGCGUAAGUGAUGAAGGCCUUAGGGUUGUAAAGCUCUUUUACCCGGGAUGAUAAUGACAGUACCUGGAGAAUAAGCUCCGGCUAACUCCGUG
This 433-nucleotide ribosomal RNA is filed under the name uncultured bacterium. RNAcentral describes it as "partial 16S ribosomal RNA". It matches the Rfam family "Bacterial small subunit ribosomal RNA", at positions 29 to 507 of the family's 1533-position model. The record is from RNAcentral.